RNAcentral lists this ribosomal RNA (277 nucleotides) under uncultured bacterium. RNAcentral's name for it is "partial 16S ribosomal RNA". It matches the Rfam family "Bacterial small subunit ribosomal RNA", at positions 82 to 354 of the family's 1533-position model. The record is from RNAcentral.
CCGUUGCCGGCGACCGGCGCACGGGUGAGUAACACGUAUGCAACCUGCCCGUGGCAGGGGGGAUAAGCGGGGGAAACCCCGUCUAAUACCGCGUAACGCGGCCUUGGGGCAUCCCAAGGCCGCCAAAGGGAGCAAUCCCGGCCACGGAUGGGCAUGCGGCGCAUUAGCUAGUCGGCGGGGUAACGGCCCACCGAGGCGACGAUGCGUAGGGGUUCUGAGAGGAAGGCCCCCCACACUGGUACUGAGACACGGACCAGACUCCUACGGAAGGCAGCAG